GGAGAGUAAAUCGAUCAGGCGAUCGGCGCUGUUUGCUAAACAGAUGGGAUUGCAUCUGUGGUUCGAGUCCACUGCUCUCCGCC
RNAcentral lists this transfer RNA (83 nucleotides) under Microchaete diplosiphon NIES-3275. Its description in RNAcentral is "Fremyella diplosiphon NIES-3275 tRNA-Ser". Lineage: Bacteria; Bacillati; Cyanobacteriota; Cyanophyceae; Nostocales; Rivulariaceae. The record is from RNAcentral.